GGGUGUAAUCAUACCAACACUAAUUCACCAAAUUCCAUCAAAACUUCAUAGUUAAGUGUUCUUGGACAAGACUAGUACUGAGAUGGGUGACCUCUUAAGAAGUCCUCGUGUUGCACCCC
Molecule: ribosomal RNA, 119 nt
Organism: Gossypium arboreum
Lineage: Eukaryota; Viridiplantae; Streptophyta; Magnoliopsida; Malvales; Malvaceae
Source: Rfam